CAAUAUAGCUCAGUCGGUAGAGCAAUUCACUCGUAAUGAAUAGGUCAUCGGUUCGAUUCCGAUUAUUGG
This 69-nucleotide transfer RNA is filed under the name Victivallis vadensis. It matches the Rfam family "tRNA". Rfam says of the family: Transfer RNA (tRNA) molecules are approximately 80 nucleotides in length. Their secondary structure includes four short double-helical elements and three loops (D, anti-codon, and T loops). Further hydrogen bonds mediate the characteristic L-shaped molecular structure. tRNAs have two regions of fundamental functional importance: the anti-codon, which is responsible for specific mRNA codon recognition, and the 3' end, to which the tRNAs corresponding amino acid is attached (by aminoacyl-tRNA synthetases). tRNAs cope with the degeneracy of the genetic code in two manners: having more than one tRNA (with a specific anti-codon) for a particular amino acid; and 'wobble' base-pairing, i.e. permitting non-standard base-pairing at the 3rd anti-codon position. The record is from RNAcentral. Lineage: Bacteria; Pseudomonadati; Lentisphaerota; Lentisphaeria; Victivallales; Victivallaceae.